CCCAGAUCUGCAUAAGUUAUUUUCACCAAUAAUGCAAUGCUGACAGCUUACUGAAAAAAAAGUAUGUAUUAGAUAAUACAUAUAUAGGAAAGUAUGUAUUAGAUAAUACAUAUAUAGGAAGAUCCUAAAUUUUUAAAUUUUUUUUUCACUUUAUGAAGUACAGAAGCAAAGAAAAUCAUGAAGAUGUAACCAAACCUGGCCAACUUUUCGGAAAGCAUAAGAGGAAUUCAUCCAAUCUGAAUUUUCACAUGUUAUGGGCUAAUGAGAAUGACUUGCGCUGUUACGGGAGGAGGAAAGCCAAAUCAUAUUAUUCACUUUGGAAUAGCUAAGUGGGAAUUUUAUUGCUUGAUUGAUACAGUAGCAAGAAGAAAGAUUGAUAUUUAUGGAUUUUGAAGAAACUAUUUGGAAAGUCAAAUAUCUAACAGCUGUAAGGAAGAAGGGAAGAAUUAGAGAUGAGGGUUAACUUUCAGCAAAAAACUGCAUGUCUCACAGUAGAAAAGCACAAAUAUUAUCAUUUCCUGAAUAUUUUCAUUGGAUAUUGCACACUAAAGCUGAAAAAGCAGAGCACCUUGAAGGGCUAAGAAACAAAAGAUGGCUCCAUCUUUAUACUGUACAGUGUUUGUCACACAAUCCCCAGAACAGAAAACUAAAUUAUACUGCUGGGUGAGCCUCAGUGGAGCGCUUGGUGUGCCAGCAACAUUCUCCUUCUCCCAGGCCCCACAGCAUUGGAUUGAGCAGGCAGCAGAGCAAGAAAGAAUGCAGAUGCAAUGAUCACUUUAUCUCUGCACUCCAGAAAUCUCCCUCAGCUCCAUCACAGCAAGCUGCAGAGCUAAACUGAGUUGCCCUGACAGAAGGAAGUCAGGCUACCUUCUUUGCUCUUUGUUGAGCAGGAUGUUUGUUCACACACUGUUCAUUUUUAUUAAUUUAUUUGUCUGUCUGACUGUUUGUUUGUUUGUUUAUUUAGUGAUGCACACAGAAUAACUAAUAACUAGUAACACAGAAUACAGAAACUGCGUACUCAAUUAUAUGUAACUGAAUAUAACCUUAUAGUGUAAAAUAUUUAUAAUGCCAUCUAUAUCCCUGACCUUAUCAUUGAAGACAUCCGAUAAUAUACACAAUACCACCAUAUAUCUGAUGCCUGAUACGUCAAAUUACAGUAAGAUCUUAUUGAUAAAACCAACUUCUGUGUAUAAGGCUGUGAAUGGACUGUAAAGCAAGGAGGACAGUGACAUUUUAAAUAGAACUGGAAGCAUCAAGGCUACUCAUGUAGAGUUCCCGUGACACAAACUGAAGAUGAAAUUUUUAUCAUACUUUAAUAAAGCUUUCAAAUAUGUAUACUUUAUAAAAUUA
This 1350-nucleotide long non-coding RNA is filed under the name Coturnix japonica (Japanese quail). Its description in RNAcentral is "lncRNA (ENSCJPG00005007377.1)". The record is from RNAcentral. Lineage: Eukaryota; Metazoa; Chordata; Aves; Galliformes; Phasianidae.